GACGAACGCUGGCGGCUUGCUUAACACAUGCAAGUCGAACGGAAUGGCCCUUCUUUUGUGGGGUGCUCGAGUGUCGAACGGGUGGUUAACACGUGAGUAACCUUCCCUUGACUUUUGGAUAACUUCAGGAAACUGUGGCUUAUACCGGAUAGGAGCUCCUGCUGCAUUGUGUGGGUUGGAAAGUUUCGGCGGUUGGGGAUGGACUCGCGGCUUAUCAGCUUGUUGGUGGGUUAGUGGCUUACCAAGGCUUUGACGGGUAGCCGGCCUGAGAGGGUGACCGGCCACAUUGGGACUGAGAUACGGCCCAGAAUCCUACGGGAGGCAGCAGUGGGGAAUAUUGCACAAUGGGCGGAAGCCUGAUGCAGCAACGCCGCGUGCGGGAUGACGGCCUUCGGGGUGUAAACCGCUUUCGCCUGUGACGAAGCGUGAGUGACGGUAAUGGGUAAAGAAGCACCGGCUAACUACGUG
This 468-nucleotide ribosomal RNA is filed under the name uncultured bacterium. Its description in RNAcentral is "partial 16S ribosomal RNA". It matches the Rfam family "Bacterial small subunit ribosomal RNA", at positions 28 to 507 of the family's 1533-position model. The record is from RNAcentral.